AAUAAUGUCGCCGCAUUUAUCACAGUUACUGUAGUUUCCUGUCUUUUGAUUUGUUGUUUAUUUAUUUAUUUGUACCCGUGCGGAUAUAUUCAAAAGAAUCACCAUACCAUUUAAGGAAGGGCACUGAAGUUCCACUCCUACGUCAUCACCACGUUCAGAUGGGGCAUAAUGAUCUAAUGAGCUGAAAUCAACCAACCGGUGUUCCGUUCUAACUAAUCGUUAAUUCGUAGCGUCGCAUUCGCCAACGUAUAAAACAGCUCGAAUCGCUCUUCGCUGGCACAAGUGACUCGAAACUUGGUACACACCGUAGCACGUCUAUUCAGUGAGCGAAAUAGCAAGUGUCAUACACGUUGGCUACAGCUGUUUAAAAAGGCUUAUUAUCCGUCAUCUAUUACACGGUUAUUUCACAAGAAAUUUGAAGUCAUGCGUCAAGUCACAGUCAUCACCGCCGCUUUAAUGGCCAUGUGCCUGUUGAUACACUCUGUCAACGUUUCAGCAAAGUCAUCCAGACUACACUCUUACCAGAGCUCUGGCACGGCGAUGUUUGGAAAGAGAACAUCUGAUUAUAUAUCAUCAGUUGCGGAGAUAGACGAAUUGAUCACACAAUCUUUGGAAAAUCUACUCACGCUGAGAAAAGCAUUUGACGUACUCAUGGACAGAGCUGAAAACACCGCCGAUGUACAAGAAUAGAUAAUCUUUAUUCGUUUCCUUCUCGUCUAUGUGGUUUGCCUCGGAUAACAUUUUACUUUAUUUGCAAUAUCGGUGUGGUGCACGGCGCAGUUGGUCUAUUUCCCAAUCAUGAUUUACCUAUUGCUAGUAACGACGCCCUAGAACAGACCGGAUACCUUCGAGCAGUCGUACACAUUUGUCGCACGUUCUUAUUAAUUUAAACUCAAAAUUUCAUUUUGUUUUCAUGAUGUGUAUUUUUUAUUUGUCACUGGGCAGAAAUAAAGUGCACGCAAUGUAAAUAAUUUAUGACAAUGUUGUAGUUUAUGUCAAUAGUUUCAUCUAGAUUUUCAUGUUAAUUAAACAUAUCACUUCGA
Saccoglossus kowalevskii is the source of this 1043-nucleotide long non-coding RNA. RefSeq lists it as uncharacterized. The record is from RefSeq and is a predicted model, not a curated record. Lineage: Eukaryota; Metazoa; Hemichordata; Enteropneusta; Harrimaniidae.